This 253-nucleotide ribosomal RNA is filed under the name uncultured bacterium. Its description in RNAcentral is "partial 16S ribosomal RNA". It matches the Rfam family "Bacterial small subunit ribosomal RNA", at positions 524 to 776 of the family's 1533-position model. The record is from RNAcentral.
UACGAAGGGGGCUAGCGUUGCUCGGAAUUACUGGGCGUAAAGAGCUUGUAGGCGGUUUGUCGCGUCUGCUGUGAAAACUCGAGGCUUAACCUCGAGCUUGCAGUGGGUACGGGCAGACUAGAGUGUGGUAGGGGAGACUGGAAUUCCUGGUGUAGCGGUGAAAUGCGCAGAUAUCAGGAGGAACACCGAUGGCGAAGGCAGGUCUCUGGGCCACUACUGACGCUGAGAAGCGAAAGCAUGGGGAGCGAACAGG